RNAcentral lists this microRNA precursor (87 nucleotides) under Podarcis lilfordi (Lilford's wall lizard). The record is from RNAcentral. Lineage: Eukaryota; Metazoa; Chordata; Lepidosauria; Squamata; Lacertidae.
GCAGUAAAUAUGUGUGUGUGUGUGUGUGUGUGUGUACACACACACACACACACACACACACACACACACACACAUUUCUUAUUCUGC